Molecule: long non-coding RNA, 2331 nt
Filed under: Canis lupus familiaris (dog)
Lineage: Eukaryota; Metazoa; Chordata; Mammalia; Carnivora; Canidae
Description: lncRNA (ENSCAFG00000052062.1)
Source: RNAcentral
GAGUACUUUAAAUUUUAUCCAAACUUUUUUUUUCUCAUCUUGGUCUGAAAGUCUCACUUCUCUAAUAUUUUUACUUCUCUAAUUCUCUGGCUAGUACUGGUUAACAGUGAUACCAUGGCAUUUAGCAGUUAUUAUGAUUUCUAUUCUAAUAUUUUAAUGCCAGCUGAUUUAAAAACCUGUUUUGAGGGAUCCCUGGGUGGCGCAGCGGUUUGGCGCCUGCCUUUGGCCCAGGGCGCGAUCCUGGAGACCCAGGAUCGAAUCCCACGUCGGGCUCCCAGUGCAUGGAGCCUGCCUCUCCCUCUGUCUAUGUCUCUGCCUCUCUCUCUCUCUGUGACUAUCAUAAAUAAUAAAUUAAAAAAAAAACAUAAAACCUUUAAAAAAAAAACUGUUUUGAUUGUAUACAUUUUGCUUCUAAAAUCUCAGGUUAUCUCCUGAACACUUUUGGAUCACUUUGACUUUUAUACCCCAAACAGUCCUUAGAGUAAAUUUCUAUUUACAUAGAGCUCAAAGAGAAGAUUGGAUAACCGAAUUUUUUCCCUCAAAAUACUUUGUAUAAUAAUUUAUUGUUACACUAACACCCAGUUCUGUAAGUACAUUUUAUGCUGUCAAAAAAAAAAAAUAGAAUCUGAUUGGUGUGUCUCAUAUAGAAUGUAUUUUAUGGAUGUCUUCUACUUUUGUAAUUUCAAAGUUCAGCGCUUUUUAGUUCAUGUGUUCUAGUUUUGAGCAUAUUCAAUGGACUGAAGUGCUCCAUUUUUUAGAGAUAGGAAAUUUACAAAAUUUCUGGCAUCUUAAAGACGUAUAUUGGGCAAAGUUUCUAAGAAAAUAAACAAUUUUUCUUCCUCUGGAAGAAAAAACUCUAUUCCAUAGGUUUCCAGGGAAAACAGUUACCCCAAAUUCACAUUGAGGCUAUAUUUUUAAAAAUCAGUGCUUUCCAGGGGUACUUGGGUGGCUCAGUUGUUAUGCAUCCGAUCUUGCUCUUAGCUAGGUCUCAAUCGACAGGUCAUGAGUUUGAGCCUCUUGCUGGGCUCCACACUGGGCAUUGAGCCACUUAAAAAAAAAAUCAAUGCUUUCCAAUAAAUUUUUAUCAAUAAUCUUUAAGUUAGACAUGAGACACUUGAUCCAGACUUUCAGAUUUACUCAGUUUGUCUAACCUCAAAACUAGUUGGUCUAAAAAUGAUAUGCAUUAUCUCAAGAAGUUUCAGCAAACUUCACUUAAGAAUUCUAUCACAAUGCUGCUGCUUCUAGAGGAGUAUUUCAUGGAUUUUAGAAUGGGAAAUGUUAAAGCAUUCACCUUGCAGAUUUGUGUUUAAGAUUAAUUUAAGAAUAUAUCCUUAAAUUUUUAUGCAUAUAAUUUAUAUAAUUUGUAAUGUAAAUUUAUGUAGCUCAUAAGUAUAUAAUGUCUAUGAUUUAUUUCAAUUUAAUAAGAAUUAAUAUAUUUUACGUUAUUGGGGCAAUAGUAAGGAAAUUUGUAGAUAGCUUCCUUCUAAAAUAAUUUGUUAUUUACAUUGUUUGGAAAAUACAACAGAAUAUGUACAAUGGAAAAGCUAUCUCAUAAUACCUAAGGCAAAUUUUAUUCUUAAAAAAAGUGUAUCUUGAGAUCCCUGGGUGGCUCAGCAAUUUAGCACCGCCUUCAGCCCAGGGCGUGAUCCUGGAGACCCGGGAUUGAGUCCCACUAGGGCUCCCUGCAUGGAGCCUGCUUCUCCCUCUGCCUGUGUCUCUGCCUCUCUCUUUCUCUGUGUCUCUCAUAAACAAAUAAAUAAAAUCUUAAAAAAAAAGUGUAUCUUGAGUAACUAUGCUAAAGUAUUACCUGGUAAUCUUUUAGAUGAGCUUCAAAAUUACUUUUAUGAUGGGAGAAUAAUGUUUGCAUUUUGUAUGAAACUAAUUGGGAAAACAGACCUUGUUUAUACCGUCAAGGGGAAAAAGGCUUAUAGAGUAUGUAUGCUCUGAAUUUUUGCAAGUAACAGACUUCUGAUUUGUAUGCAAUUGUACUUUUACAUUUUAGUGUGAGAAAUGAAAAUUAUCCCAAGUAAUACAAUAUUUGUCUAUUUUAAAAUGCUGCCAAUCUUGGUAAAAUGCCCUCUAAAUCUUCCUGGAUUUGGAACCCAGCAGGUGACUCCUACUCUUCCUCCCGAUUCUCCCAUUCCGUAAGAUUUCUUUAACUUGAGUGUGUGUUGCCUCACUGUGUACUUCUGGCCCUGGGCUUGCUCAAGCAAAGGCAAAGCCUAUAAUUUGUUUCCCUUAACAGAGCUGAGGCAGACUGGGUUUUCAAAAACAACUUUACCCAAUACACGUAGAAAACAAAAGAGAAAUUUGAAAGGGGAAUUUGAAAAA